This 300-nucleotide ribosomal RNA is filed under the name Symbiodinium sp. Mp. RNAcentral describes it as "partial Bacterial small subunit ribosomal RNA". It matches the Rfam family "Bacterial small subunit ribosomal RNA", at positions 240 to 537 of the family's 1533-position model. Lineage: Eukaryota; Dinophyceae; Suessiales; Symbiodiniaceae. The record is from RNAcentral.
AUUAGUUAGUUGGUAAGGUAACGGCUUACCAAGACGUCGAUAGGUAGGGGCCCUGAGAGGGGGAUCCCCCACACUGGUACUGAGACACGGACCAGACUCCUACGGGAGGCAGCAGUGGGGAAUAUUGGACAAUGGGCGCAAGCCUGAUCCAGCCAUGCCGCGUGCAGGAAGACAGCCCUAUGGGUUGUAAACUGCUUUUAUACAGGAAGAAUAAGUCCCUUGCGAGGGAUGAUGACGGUACUGUAAGAAUAAGGACCGGCUAACUCCGUGCCAGCAGCCGCGGUAAUACGAAGGGGGCUA